RNAcentral lists this ribosomal RNA (316 nucleotides) under uncultured eukaryote. RNAcentral describes it as "SSU rRNA". The stretch from base 87 to 316 matches the Rfam family "Eukaryotic small subunit ribosomal RNA", at positions 735 to 967 of the family's 1831-position model. The record is from RNAcentral.
GGCGACCGGUCCGCCCCUCACGGUGUGUGCACCUGGUCUCUGCGUCCAUUCCUCGGGGAGAGCGCGUCUGGCAUUCAGUUGUCGGGCGCGGGAUCCUCGUCAUUUACUGUGAGCAAAAUAGAGUGUUCAAAGCAGGCUUAUGUCGUUGAAUACAUUAUUAUGGAAUAAUAAGAUAGGACCUUGGUCUAUUUUGUUGGUUUGCAUUCCAAGGCAAUGAUUAAUAGGGAUAGUUGGGGGUAUUCUUAUUCAAUUGUCAGAGGCGUAAUUCUUGGAUUUAUGGAAUACGAACUACUGCGAAAGCAUUUACUAAGGAUGU